UGCGCUUCAAGGUGUUGGUUAUCACCUUUAAAGCGCUCCAUGGCAUAGGGCCUAGCUAUCUCCGAGACCGCCUGCUGCUACCGACGACCUCCCACCGACCCGUGCGCUCCCACAGAGAGGGCCUCCUCAGGGUGCCAUCAGCCAAACAAUGUAGGCUGGUGGCCCCCAGGGGGAGGGCCUUCUCUGUGGGGGGCUCCUACCCUCUGGAAUCAGUUGCCCCCGGAGAUAAGAAGAAUCCAGGACCUCAAUGCCUUCCGUCGUUCCCUGAAAACCCAUCUUUUUCAACAAGCCGGGUUGGCCUAAGAAGAAAUUUUUAAAAUUUUAAAAUUUUUAAAUUCUUUUAAUUAGUCUGUGAUUCUUAACUUUCGGGCCAAAAUUUAUAUAUAUUUUUAAAUGUUUUAAUAUUUGUAUCCUAUGUUUUUUUAUCUUGGCUGUACACCGCCCUGAGUCCUCAGGGAGAAGGGCGGUAUAUAAAUUGGAAAUUAAAUUAAAUUAAAUUAAAUUAACUUCUACCAACCCUGUGACCCCAAUUCCAAUAAUAAAGUGCAGGCCUUCAUCUCAAUUCUCUCUAGGCCUGUGAUGGCGAAACUAUGGCAGUGUGCCAGAAGUGGCACGCAUAGCCAUUGUUCCAGGCACAUGAGCCGUUGCCAAACUUACCCGAAGCUGUGCAUGUGUGUGCACCCCAGCUGGUGUUCAGGCCUUUGGCACACAUGCGCAAUUCAGGGGACCCAGCUGGUCUUCACAGCUCUCCUCUGCAUGUUUGUACAUGCAUUCAAGGCGACUGGUACGCAGCGCGUGCUUGCGCAGAUCACGUGUGCAUUGCAUGCGCAUGCGCAGAUGGUGAGAUUGUGUGUGCAGUGUGCGUUGGGGCGCGUGCUUGAAAGCUGCAUGCGAAAGGUCUGUGCAUAGAUGGUGCUGUUGUGCACACAGCACAUGGGGAGGAGCCGUGCAUUAGCCCAGAUGGCCUGCGAGCGCGCACAGUACGCGAAGCACAUUCCUGUUUGGCACUCGGUAAGUAAAUGGUUCCCCACCACUGCUCUAGGCAUUCCAUUCCCUUGUUUUUUUCCUUGCCAAAAUAGACCAAUCUUUGUCCGUAUUUCAUCUUACCCUAGGAUGGGUAAUCCUAGAAAUAGAAAGCCAAUGCCAUGAAAGUCACUACUACAGGUAGUCCUCAACCUAUGAUCACAAUUGACCCCAAAAGUUCCGUUGCUAAACGAGACAGCUGUUAAGUGAAUUUUGCCCCAUUUUACAACUUUUCUUGCCACAUUUGUUAAGUGAAGCACUGCAAUCGGAAAACUCCGGAGACAGCCUUGGAAGAAUGAAACGGCUUUCUUGCUCGGUGCCGGUGGAAAAGAGACGGAUCCGCCCAAGGCUUUUCCUCGCCGGGGAUCUCGAUCCCCAAAAAGGCCGGAGAGCCGCGGAUGCAGCUGCGGACACGGACAUCAAAGGCUCCGGGCGUCUUCGUUCUCUCCAGGCUUUCCAGGGGUUAAAGAGAGCGAGUUCUCCCUAGAAAGACCAUAUUGAGGAUUGCAGGGGACUCUUCCGGCCCUCCCUUUCGCUGUCCUGGCGGACUCCCCUCAGGGGAAAAAAAACGCCUUAGAAGCAUUUUGCGAACCUUCGGAAAAGAACCGUUGGAAGGGGCGGGGCUACGAUUUCCCGCCUGUCUGUGAAGAAGCACCGAGUGACAAAGACGUCCUCCUCUUCUGGGAAACACUGAAAUAUCAAUCCCUUGAUACCUUCUGAAACAUUCUAUGACAAGAUAAACAUAAACCAUUGGAUAAACAAAUAUCAAUAUACAUUCUUAAAUUUUGUGAUAUAAAGUUGAUAUUAAAAAAUAAUCCACCUUAAAAAUUCUGGAGCAGAGUUAUAUAAAAUGUAUAUUCUCUUUUAGCUGGGUAAAUUAUCGCAGUGAUCUAUUAAAUUCAAUUCUUCCAUAUGAACUCAACUGUUUACUAAUCUUUUCUUCAUAUGCUUGAUUAGAUGCUAACAAUAUAAUGGUUAGGAAAUUUAAAAAAACCCUAAAAACCCCUUUAAUAAAAUCUGGGGAUCCCUUAUCUUUACCAGCUGGGAUUACAUUUGAGACUAUGCUUAUUAGAUGGCAUCAAGUCCAUUCUUCCUGUACCUACUACACAAAGAUAUUAGCCUCGUUGUAAUUUGAAGCUCUCCCAAAGAUUUCCUGUAAUCGCCUUCAUCUGGCCCAUCUCUUUUAUUCUUUCUUUUCCCCUUCCUUCACUCAUUUUUUAGUAAUCAUAAUCCACCGCAUUUCCAUUUUGACAUUGUGAUAAAAAAAAUGGAACCACUGAACUUCUUUCCACACUACAAGUCUGUAAAUGGCCACUCCUCCUCAUAAAAAUGGCUCUUUUUAUGAGACGUUCACUCUUCUGAAUAAAGCUCCUUCAAUGUUAUAUGCUGGUAGGUUGGUUCUCCAUUGUGUGGAUCGUGUUAUGAGAAGAGGGGGAAGUGCUGUUUCUUUCCACACUCCUGGCACUGAUAUCGUUUCUCUCCCAUGUGGAUCCUCUUAUGGACAGUAAGGGAACAACAGGCCAGGCCAAGCUGUGCCACUGCAGAGCCUGCGGUGCUUUCCCUUCAACCUGGGUGGUGGCACUUACCUAGGUGGGCCAGUGCUGGUAGGUCGCCACACUUGUAGACGUGCAGCUGGAGUGGAACAUGGUGUGGGCAGAGAGGCCAAUACAGCAAUAGGCUUACCGGGGCCGCCUUGCUCAGCUUUGCUGCCUUUGUGCACUGUACAUGGAAGGGGCCGCUGCUGCUCUCACCACCCUCACUCCCUGCUUGCUUGCAGAUGUCCGGCUGCCCAAAGCAACCCUGCUGCCAUUUGCUUUCGUUUCGUGGCGGGAGAAGGAAGAAAGCAAACAGCAAUGGCUCGGCAGUGCUCCGGGAGGGCAGGUGGACCGUGAACGUUCUGGGCCUUAUGCAUGUGCACAUGCACACGUGAAUGUGCUGCACUACCGCCAUUCGCCUUCUUUCUUCUCCCGUUGUGAAACGAAAGCGAAUGGCAGCGGGUUGCUUCGGGUGGUUGCUUCGGGUAGGCGGACGUCUGCAGCCAGCCGCGGAAGGAGGGUGGCGAGAGCAAUGGCAGCAGCCCCUUUCAAGCGCAAUGCAGAGGCGACGGGCAAGGGAGUGCCAAGAUGAAGAGCUACCCGCAAUGGCGGAUAAGUGCUACUGCCCAGGCAAAAGGGAAAGCGCUGCAAGUUCCGGGGUGGCACGGCCGGGCCUAGCCCUCUCCCCGCACGGGGGCCAGCGACUUCCACCUCUCUCGGUCCACUUCUUCACCAGCAGGAAGUGGCGCCGUGGCUGAGCCUCCUUCCCCAGGAGCGCCGGAUUCCACAGGCUGUGUUCCUGGAGUAGUGCUGGCAGUCAGAGAGAGCAGGCAGGUGGCCAGGUGGGAAGCCAGUGGGCUGCUUCAGAGCCCCAAGCCCCUCGGAGCUGGGAGGGGUGGAAGGCGGCCUUUUCUGCCGCAUCCCUGUCCCCUCUUUGGAUCACCCUGCAGGUGGGGGGGGGGCUCCGCCUUUGUAGAAAUGGGGCAGGUGAUUUGUACAGAGAAUUGGCAGGGAGGGAUGCACAGCCCUCUGGGAUGGAGAGCGGGGCAAGAGAAGGCUCCGAGGUUCACUUGGGCACUCAAGGCAGAUGACGGAGGGAAACUCAAAGUGUUGGGGGCUUCAGAAGGGCAGAAUGUGCAGUUCCUGGCUCUAACAGUGAGUGAAGUGAUGUCAAGUUUGCCACGCCACACCCACCCGGUCACAUGACCACCAAGCCACGCCCACAGAACUGGUAGGGAAAAUUUUUAGAUUUCGCCACUGCCCACAACAUCUGAAGGCAAGCUGUUUCACUGGUUAAUUGUCCUGACUGUUAGGAAGUUUCUCCUCAAUUCCAGAUUGCUUCUCUCCUUGAUUAAUAUCCAUCCAUUGUUUCUUGUCCUGCCUUCUGGCGCUUUGGAAAAUAAGUUGAACCUCUUUGUGGCAGCCCUUCAAAUACUGGAAUACUGCUAUCAUGUCCCCCCCUAGUUUCUCCAGACUAACCAUACCCAGUUCCUGCAAAAAAAACCUUACAUUUGAAUAGAAUAGAAUUAAUUAGAAUUAGAAUUAUUAGAAAUAAAAUAGAAUAGAAUUUUAUUAGCCAAGUGUGAUUGGACACACAAGGAAUUUGUCUUGGUGCAUACGCUCUCAGUGUACAUAAAAGAUACGUUCAUCAAGAAUCAUAAGGUACAACACUUAAUGAUAGUCAUAGGGUACAAAUAAGCAAUCGGGAAAAAAUAUCAAUAUAAAUCAUAAGGAUACAAGCAAUAAGGUUGCAGUCAUUCAGAUUGUUCGGUCACACCAUAAGGCUAGUUGUUCAACCUCCCGUUGUAUGCAGAUUCAUCAUCAUCUUAAAUGAGACCAAUCAAUGUUUUAUUCUCUUUUGGGGCAAGGGAGCCAUCUCUAGUUUGUAUUGCUCUCCAACAUGCCCCAUUGACACUUAUUGUUGUUCCGGUUGUUCUUUAUUGGCCAAGUGUGAUUGGACACACAAGGAAUUUGUCUUUGGUGUAAAAAAACAUCUUUAUGGCACUUCCUGUGGUAAACUUGUGAUGUGGUUGUGUUUAUUGUGCCAGACAUAUAAAUGUGUUUCUGUGAGGA
This is a non-coding RNA of Pantherophis guttatus, 4631 nucleotides long. Lineage: Eukaryota; Metazoa; Chordata; Lepidosauria; Squamata; Colubridae. The record is from RefSeq and is a predicted model, not a curated record.